RNAcentral lists this unclassified non-coding RNA (493 nucleotides) under Scorzonera meyeri. Its description in RNAcentral is "partial external transcribed spacer". The record is from RNAcentral. Lineage: Eukaryota; Viridiplantae; Streptophyta; Magnoliopsida; Asterales; Asteraceae.
UGCUUGCUUGGCCUUGUUGCUAGGUGGGUGGCUUUUUGCCGAGCAGUCUUCGGGGAUGUUUUCCGUAAAGGUGCAUGAGUGGUGUUUGGUUUGUUAUGGAUGGUUGGAUGUCUGCUUGCGCAGCAACUUCCAUGCAUGCUUACCUUUUCAGUUGUGCUACAAGACUUGAUUGGCUUGAAGCAUUUGGUGGGUUUCCUGUGUUGCGUACCUAAUCGAUGGAAUUUCUUGCCCCUAAAGAUGCUUGAUUUCGUAAUGCGUUGUUUAUAGCACCGUAUUACGAACCACAAAGUGGCCUUCGUUGUCCACCCUAUCAAUGCUCAUGCAUCGAUGGUGUGGCCUAUGUAGUGUUGCUUGGUCCUUUGGAUACGGAACAUGAUGUGGCACUAGAUCUUCAAAGAUGUUGCCUUUGCCCCGAUUCAGUGUUGUAGCUACUUUAAAUGACUGUCCAUCAUGAUUGCACAUGUCGAUGCAUGAAGGGUUGUGUCGUUGAUGA